Molecule: ribosomal RNA, 253 nt
Filed under: uncultured bacterium
Lineage: Bacteria
Description: partial 16S ribosomal RNA
Rfam family: Bacterial small subunit ribosomal RNA
Source: RNAcentral
GACAGAGGGUGCAAACGUUGUUCGGAAUUACUGGGCGUAAAGCGCGUGUAGGCGGCCCUGUAAGUCGGGUGUGAAAUCCCACGGCUCAACCGUGGAAGUGCAUUCGAAACUACAGGGCUAGAGUUCUGGAGAGGAAGGUGGAAUGCUUGGUGUAGAGGUUAAAUUCGUAGAUAUCAAGCGGAACACCGGUGGCGAAGGCGGCCUUCUGGACAGUAACUGACGCUGAGACGCGAAAGCGUGGGGAGCAAACAGG